CCUUGAGGUUCCAGAGCCCACUAAAGCAGGACUUCGGGGCCUCACUUUACCUUUCUCUUCCCUGGAGACCACUGAAAUGCACUGGCGAGAGAGCUGGGUUUAAUAUUCAUGAACCAGCCAGGCAUGAGUGAUUAGCUGACUCCUGUUGGAGGAGGAGGAAUAAUUGAAUGCGGUAUUUACGUAACAAGUUAAUGCUGCCACCCGCCUGUGGGGCUCCUUUGUGGGUCUGUCCUGCACCUCCCUACUUGCCCACAUUGUGUUUCUCCUCACCUGCCUUGGAUGGCCUAGGAGGAAGUGCAGUGGCUUUGCACCCCUCUGCAAUUGGGGCUGCCGUCUAAAUGAUAACAUUAUUUAGGGAACAGAACUCCAGUGCCUGGGAGAGCCUGUAAUGGGCUGGUCGGUGGCCUGCCCGGGGGGCUGGACCCCUAAACAAAACCCUUCUGCAGACUCUGAGAAAUGACAAGGGGAAGCUGAGAAGCUGAGACUGGGUUUUUGACAUGGGCCUUCUUGCCCCAAACCUUCAGGAGACCUUGAGCACAUUCCAUCCCAUUUUUUGGCUUCUUUCCUUUUCUGCAACACACAGGGCCCCAGCCCGACCCUCUGUGGUCUAGGACUGCAUUCCAGCUGCCUGGUUGAAGGCAGCAGGCAAGGGCAGAAGCCGGGGUGCGGGGCCAUUCAAAAGAGAACUGCUCUUUUGUGGCUGCAAAGGGGAGGUAAGGCACUGUUUCCAUGCCUUCCUCAAGAGCUGCCUUUGGGGUUACCCCUGGUCAGUGCUCACUUGGGGUCCUGGAAUCAAAGGUUCUUAGCUCAUAAUCACCUCAUUCAUGGCUGGCUGGGAGGUGUGCUGUGUGCAUGUCUGACCCUGGGCAUGAGGAACACCAGCCAAGUCCUUCUGGCUGCAGUUAAAAGGGCUCACCGGCCUCUCCCUGAAGAAACAGCAAACCAGAGGUCCCGUCUGGCUGGCAUGAAUGGAAGGGCAAACGCUCCGACCAAAUUGCUCUGGGAAUGUCAUUCUAAUUAUUGGAUCCUGACCCAGCAGCAUGCUGAUAAGCUCUGGGUUGGAGACGCCCUAUCUCAGAGGAGCUCCAAACCUGCUCAAGGCCUUUUCUUGCCCUCUGCAACUUUCCUGCCAAGCAAUUAGCCUCCAGGGGUAUCUGAGAGCGGGAGACUGGGAGGAGCGGGGUCCCUAGGGGUUGCAGUGGGGAGGGCUAACGGGCUGGGGAUGCCCCCUGUUGUGUUUCCAGGGAAAGCCUGUCCAGAUUGCCGUUGCCUUCUUUACCUUCAGUGUCAGAGUUGGGGUCCAGUCUGUAUUGUGGGGAGUAGGAAAAGCUUUUCUUGUUGAGCCCUGGGCUUCUGUUAGGGGUUGAAUUAUGUCCCUCCCCACACUCCACAUUCAUAUGUUGAAGCCCUAACCCCUAGUUCCUCAGAAUGUAACUGUAUAUGGAGAUACAGUCUUUAAAGAGGUCAUUACAUUAAAAUGAGGUCACUGGGGUGGGUCCUUAUCCAGUAAAACUGGUGUCCUUAGAAGAAGAGGAAAUUGGAACACGGACACGCACAAAGGAAAGACCAAGUGAAGAUACAGUGAGAAGAUGGCCAACGACAAGCCGAGGAACAGGGUCUCAGAGGACCCCAACCCUGCUGACACCUUGAUCUCGGGCUUUCAGCUUCCAGCACUGUGGCAAAAUUCAUUUCUACUGUUUAGGCCUCCCGGUCUGUGACAUGUUGUCACGGUGGCCACUGAAGACUCAGACAGCUUCCUUCUAGCUCUGGUUCUUCCACGGGUGUGCUUUCAGGUGCUCCGAGGGCCCGGUGGCAGGGAAAGCCAGGUCUCCAGGCUCCUGGCCCAGGGUGUGUUUAGGAGGCAGAGCCUUCUCUGACACAAGUAUGAGGAGCAGAGAGGUUUCUCUUCUUCAGUCUCCACUAGGUCCUGGCCUCCAUGGCUUCUAUAGGCAGGGACCUGGCCAGGGCAUUCACCAGAGACUUUGACAGGGAGUCCAGGCCCAGACCCCAUAGGCAGAGCCAGAAGCCCUGUGCCAGCUUCCCAGGGAGCACCGGGGCCCAACGCAGAGUCAAGAGCUGGCAUCAGCACAGGUGCAAGGUGGGGUUGGGAAGGGCAUGGCAGCUUGGGGGUCUGCAGUGCCAGGCAUUAGUCACAGGUGGCCUGGCAUGAGGUAGGUGGGCCGGCUUGAAGGUCUAGAAGAUGGAUAGACACCAGAGACUUGUAGUCUAUGUCUCCUUCUUGCUGUCCCCUGGAUGUCACCUCCCCUCUGCCCCCAGUGCUGAACUAACCCCCUUCAUCUUUUACUUGGGACUCCAUCAGUGACUCAUCAUUGCUUUUGGUGUGACUUACCAGCGGCUGCUCCGUCUGCCUCUUCCUUCCCCUCCAGGGUCAUUUUGAACACUCUUCCUUCCUGACAACUAAACUUUUCACUGUUUCCUAUCAUAACAUGUUAUUUUAUACUUCAUUUAACUAUCCACCCACCUAUCCAUUUAUCCACCCACCUACCCACCUAUCCAUCCACGCACCCACUCAUCCAUCCAUCCAUCCAUCCAUCCAUCCAUCCAUCCAGCAAAUAUUUGCCUAGUGUCUGCCUUGGGCACCCAUGCUGGACCCUGGUGCCACAGUGCUGAGCCCACGCCCAGCCCCUCCCCCCAUGAAGCUCACAGUUUAGCUAGGGAGCUAGAUAGACAUCAGCCCAUCAGAUGACUUACAUCUAAAAUUAUAAACUAAGACAUGCAGUGAAGGGAAAAAUCAGGGAGUGCUGAGCACAGAAAACCAUGGGACUGAUGGGGUUGGGGUUGAGAUGAGCUCCAUGUGGAGGAGGGGACAUUGUGUGGGCUGAGACCUGAACCGUGAGUCAGGUGAAUCAGGAGGAGGGGAAGGAAGGGUGUUCUUGGCAGAAGGGACCACACGUGUGAAGUCCCUGAGGUGGCUGGGAGCUGGAAGAAAGCCGAGUGACUGCAGCACAGAGUGAGAGGGUGGCGGUGGUGUUGGGCUGGGAGGUCCUGGGGGGGUUGCAUCUUCUUGUUUCUAGGGCAGUAACUGGUUCAUGCUGGGAACUCAGCGGGAAUUGAGGAAGGCAUGAGGUUGUCGCUAGUCAUUAUUUGCAGGGGAAUGGCAGUCUACUCAGGGACUCUUGCUGCACAUGACAGCACACCCCCUCCCCACCCCUGCCCCAUUUACCAUCUCUAAGGGGUGCUGCUAAGGUCAUCUGUCUACUCUGGAGCCCAGAAUCCCUUUGUUCCUCCCUCUUCCACUGUUAGUAUUUCGACAGGUUUUCCUCUAGGCUUUUUGGUGCAGGUCACUCAGAUUUCUGCAGGCCACCCUAGCCCAAGCAGUCACUUUGUUUCUCCGGCUCUGCCCUGCCCGUCAAAUCUACACACACGCUUCCUGGAUUCCUGUGGGUAUGUCUCGUGUGUGCUCACAAGCCAGGCAGUUUGAUCCUGUGUAGCAUCUGUCAUGUUUUAGUGUUGCCCCUGGUGAUGUCCAUGUCUGAGACCUCAGAUGUUGAGGCGGGGUGAAAAUGCCUCACCGUCACCUCCGCUGAGAGCAGCAACACCUCCAGGUGCCAAAGGGAUAUGCAGCCAGCCAGCCACGAAGCUGCCAUGCGGGGUCUGCCAAGAAGGCUGAGAAUGCGCCUGUUCUCCAUUCUACAUGACAGUUGGUAACCCGGACACCAGAACAACUGGCUGACCACUGCUUGAAAACAGUGCCCAGUGUCCACGUGUAGCUCUCACUCCUUCAGGCUUGGUCUAUGAAUUUGGGCUGGGGAUCAAAAUGUUGGGGGCAGGUGAUGCAGGCUCCCCAAUACCCCACCCCUCUGGGGUGCACACACUCAGGGCACUUCUCCCCCAAACCUUCAUGGAAACCAGCACAUGGAAAUUGUGACCUCACCUCACAAGAUAACCAAGCAGGCUUAAAAAUACCUAGAUCCUUAUAUGAACGUAGCUCAGGUGCUGACUUCACUCUAGUGUAGAGGGUGAUUUUAAUUUUGUAUGAAUUAUAAUCAAUAUGCUUUCCAUUUUGAGUGCUUUUUUUUACUCUACAUUGUAAGCAUGUUCAUAUUAUUACAGUCUUCAUAGGCAGAAUUCUUAGCAGCUCCUUGAUAGUUCAGUAAGGAGAUGCACCCCUUUUCCUAAGCACCCCCUAUUAUUGGACAUUUAGCUUAUUUCCAGAUUGUUGCUAUUUUUAAUGAUGUGCAUGGAACAUCACCAUAUAUUGGGCUAUUAGUGCAUAUUUUCAGAAUAAGAACGACCAACUUGAGAAGUAUAAAAGAGUUUGAUCCAUUAAGUUUAAUUGCCAUCCAACUAGUUUGUAGCAACUCACAAGUCCACCAAUAUUUUCCAUGGGUAGGUACCAGAUCCUUAACCGUAAUUGCUAUAGGAUCUGCCUGGCUGGAUUACCUCUCUUCAUAAUGACAAGAAUGAUUCUUGAAGCUCAGGGUUUUAUAAAGAGAAAAGGGAAUUAGUUAAGGACUGAAUGCAGACCAUAGAAUCAACUGCAUAGAGUUUCUAACCAACCAUUUAAACAUACAUAUAGAUCUAAAAUAACAAACUAUAUAUAGCUAUAGCGCCUGUGGGGAUCUUGUGUCAAUGGCACUCUCACCUCCUAGGAUGCAUGAGUGAGGAAGAAAUACCUUACUUAGCCUGGUAAGGUGAGGCCCUACUACUGCUCUGGAACACCCUUCUGUCAUCUGUAGGGGGAUCACCCCCUGCUUCUCCAUGCCCACCUUGGCCCCCAUUCUGACUGAUCCACACUGUAGCAGAUGCUCCCUCACCUGUAUUGAGAAUGGCCUGACAAUGGCUUAAGAGUUCUUACUCUAAAGUUGCGCAAAAUCUACGCUUCAGGGGCGGGGCCUUCAUCAGCUGUAUUUCUGAAGUUUUGUUUGCUUUGGCUCCUAUUUGCUACUAUUCAGACCUGCUGCAAAAGCUGAAAGUGUGACUGUCCUCCAGUUUAGCAAUUAUGUCUUCUGCAGGUCCCUGGUACACAAUGGCCAUCUCUCUCUCUUUUUUUUUUUUGCAUUUUGGUAGUAGGAGGUGUGUGUGGACCUUCCCAGCUAUUUACAGGAGGAGGAAAUCUACUUCUUCUACAUACAUGGUACCCAAAUUCAUACUAAGCUGUUUUCUAGGUUGCUUAAGUGCACCCUCCCACCCAGCGCAGCAGCCCUGUGCCCUGUGUAUGUGUGGGGAGGGAGGUUUAACUCUUUCAUGCUACGCCUACGUAGUCUAUGAACUAAGGUGAUAACUUAUACAGAUGGUCCCCAACUUCUGAUGGUGCAACGUCAUGACAUAUUGACUUUAUGAUGAUGUGAAACAGUUGCAAUUUUGAUGUAAUGUACAGUAUUCAAUUCAAUAAAUGACAGAUAUUCAGCACUUUAUUAUAAAAUAGGCUUUGUGUUAGAUGGCUUUGUCCAAUGGCAGGCUAACCUAAGUGUUCUGA
This 5440-nucleotide long non-coding RNA is filed under the name Pan paniscus (pygmy chimpanzee). RNAcentral describes it as "lncRNA (ENSPPAG00000044870.1)". The record is from RNAcentral. Lineage: Eukaryota; Metazoa; Chordata; Mammalia; Primates; Hominidae.